This is a small nuclear RNA of Octodon degus (degu), 104 nucleotides long. The record is from Ensembl. NCBI's taxonomy places the organism in Eukaryota, Metazoa, Chordata, Mammalia, Rodentia, Octodontidae.
GUGCUUGCUUCGGCAGCACAUAUACUAAAAUUGGAAUGACCCAGAGAUUAGCAUGGCUCCUGCGCAAGGAUGACACAUGAAUUCAUGAAGCGUUCCAUAUCUUU